CAAACGACCAUGAUGGGAAGAGUAAGCCGAUCUCCUUAUUUCAGAGAGCCGGGGUAGCUGAAAACCGGUAUAAGCGAGCAAGCUGAACAUGGACCCUGAGUCUUGCAAAUGAACAGUGACGGCAUUGACCGUACCAAGUAGUUUGUGACGUAUGCCCACGUUACGGGUGGAGUCAUGUUUUGACUCACCAAGUCCGUUUUCCGUGAGGGGACGGAGUAUUUGGGUGGUACCGCGAGAUAGAGCUCGCCCCAAUU
Molecule: non-coding RNA, 254 nt
Filed under: Brevibacillus brevis
Lineage: Bacteria; Bacillati; Bacillota; Bacilli; Caryophanales; Paenibacillaceae
Description: T-box sequence
Rfam family: T-box leader
About the family: Uncharged tRNA acts as the effector for transcription antitermination of genes in the T-box leader family. T-boxes are found upstream of many aminoacyl-tRNA synthetase genes and some amino acid biosynthetic genes usually in Gram-positive bacteria.
Source: RNAcentral